This 339-nucleotide unclassified non-coding RNA is filed under the name soil metagenome. RNAcentral's name for it is "partial contains 5.8S ribosomal RNA, internal transcribed spacer 2, and large subunit ribosomal RNA". The stretch from base 1 to 120 matches the Rfam family "5.8S ribosomal RNA", at positions 35 to 154 of the family's 154-position model. The record is from RNAcentral.
GAUGAAGAACGUAGCGAAAUGCGAUAAGUAGUGUGAAUUGCAGAAUUCAGCGAAUCAUCGAAUCUUUGAACGCACAUUGCGCCCCUCGGUAUUCCGUGGGGCAUGCCUGUUCGAGCGUCAUUUAACCCCUCAAGCCUAGCUUGGUAUUGGGUGCUUGUCCCGCCUCUCGCGCGGCGACUCACCUCAAAGUCAUUGGCAGCCCGCAUCUCGCCGGCCGUGAGCGCAGCACAGACGCGCUCUUGGCAACGACGGAUCGGCUCUCCAAAAGCUUAUUUCAACCACUGACCUCGGAUCAGGUAGGGAUACCCGCUGAACUUAAGCAUAUCAAUAAGCGGAGGA